RNAcentral lists this ribosomal RNA (468 nucleotides) under uncultured bacterium. RNAcentral's name for it is "partial 16S ribosomal RNA". It matches the Rfam family "Bacterial small subunit ribosomal RNA", at positions 28 to 507 of the family's 1533-position model. The record is from RNAcentral.
GAUGAACGCUGGCGGCGUGCUUAACACAUGCAAGUCGAACGGAAAGGCCCAAGCUUGCUUGGGUACUCGAGUGGCGAACGGGUGAGUAACACGUGGGUGAUCUGCCCUGCACUUCGGGAUAAGCCUGGGAAACUGGGUCUAAUACCGGAUAGGACGAUGGUUUGGAUGCCAUUGUGGAAAGUUUUUUCGGUGUGGGAUGAGCUCGCGGCCUAUCAGCUUGUUGGUGGGGUAAUGGCCUACCAAGGCGUCGACGGGUAGCCGGCCUGAGAGGGUGUACGGCCACAUUGGGACUGAGAUACGGACCAGACUCCGACGGGAGGCAGCAGUGGGGAAUAUUGCACAAUGGGCGCAAGCCUGAUGCAGCGACGCCGCGUGGGGGAUGACGGCCUUCGGGUUGUAAACUCCUUUCGCUAGGGACGAAGCGUUUUUGUGACGGUACCUGGAGAAGAAGCACCGGCUAACUACGUG